AUGACGAUCAAUAAGAGCCAAGGGCAGACUUUGUCUAAGAUAUGUGUAUAUUUACGAGAGCCGGUAUUUUCGCAUGGACAACGGUAUGUUGCAGUAUCGCGCGUUUCUUCACGGAGUGGUCUCAAGUUCUUGAUUGAGGAUGAUCAUGGAUGUCCAUCUUUUGAGACUAGGAAUGUAGUUUAUAGAGAGAUUAUCCUAAGACUGUAG
This 207-nucleotide ribosomal RNA is filed under the name Triticum aestivum (bread wheat). RNAcentral describes it as "partial small subunit ribosomal RNA". The record is from RNAcentral. Lineage: Eukaryota; Viridiplantae; Streptophyta; Magnoliopsida; Poales; Poaceae.